AGGCCAAAGGUGCGAGACCACUAGCCAAACAGGCUUCUAGUCCUCACCUCCCGGCAAUUCGCUGUAUGAAGGUGGGCGAGUCACGUCCCAUCUCUCGAGUCCCCAUCUUAGAGCGGGUCCCCAGCAGACCUUUAAGCUUCCUUCCUACUCUGCCAUAUGGCUCUGAGCUCCGGUGCAAAGGCGGCUGGGCAGUGGGUCGCGUGGACCUUGCCCAGAGUGGUCUGUCUGGGCCGCGCACUGCUGGCUCAGCUGCCUUUUCGCUCUCGGGACUCAACAGUGGACAUUGCACCUGGCGAAGAAAUGGCCGCGCGGAAGUUAUUUAAGGACUCUUCCUGGAAGGAGUCACCUGAGCGGACCUGAAUUCCAUCUGAGGACAGAGGACAGAUUCCGGGCCCUGACCCUGGCCCUGCUCUUCGCGCAGAUCCAGGACUGGCUAUCAGUCGCUCUGAGGAUGCGACCUACUUGUCGCCAGCUUUCACUUGGUUCCACGCCAGGACAGGUUUUACUUUCAUUUCUCCCGCGCUCCUCCGACUGCUGGGGAGGUCAAGGACAGCUAGGCGUCGGCCCACGGCCAGGGAAGGUCCCGUGGUCUGGACUCGUUCCUUCCAGUCUCCACCAGUCCUGGGGUGUGGGGCGGGGCGGGGGUGUUCGUUCUCCAGAGAACUCUGCGACUGUACCUCGCUGCCUCCUCGCUGCCCUUUACAAAAGCCCGUGAUUCCGUGGGGAAACUGAGCUGUGGCUCUGCCAGGAGGAUUGCGAAGCAAGUGCUCUUGGUUCAAACUCCUCUU
Molecule: non-coding RNA, 788 nt
Filed under: Pongo abelii (Sumatran orangutan)
Lineage: Eukaryota; Metazoa; Chordata; Mammalia; Primates; Hominidae
Source: RNAcentral